GAAACAGCCUGGUGGGAUGGGUAACACAAGAGAGCCGGGGAAGCUGAGUGGGAAGUAAAGGGCAUGAUCUUGGGAGACUACUGAAUUUGUUCCUUCCCUGUGAAGCCGGUAGCCAUGGGAACUAAGCACCAUAGACCCUGACUACAGCUACAAAGUGGAAACAAUCUCCCUGCUGUUCAUCAACAACAUAAAUUAUGGCGUGUAUAAACAAUGAGAUGUUCUUCCACCAUGAAAGGAAAUCCUGUUGUAUGCUGUAAUAUGGGUAAAACUUGAAGACAUUGUGUUAACUAUAGUAAGCUCUCACACAAGGACAAAUACUGCCUUAUUAUAUUUAAGAUAAUUACAGGUCUGGUCGUCACUUAGGCCAACCUUUGUUCCGUAGUGGGAUCUUGGGGAAAAGCUGCCUGCUGAGAAGGGAGGUCUAAAGGAGACCAGAGGUAGAACCCUAGAUGGUCUCCUCCACCCAAUGGAGAUUGGAUCUCAAGACUCUUCCCUGUCCAUGGCCCUCUCUCUGCACGCGCCCGCCCACAGACUUUAGCUGCCCUAAAUUCACCUUUCUUGGAGCAGCAAGGAAGCUUGGAUGGAUGUUCAGUUCCGACUUUGAAACACGUUGGGAGGCAACAUUAUUUCUUUUCUUUGCUGCUGAUUUAGAAGCAUAAACUUGGAUACAUUUUCCGCUCCAAACGACUGGCUGUUUUAGGAACUAGAGCUGGCUGGGAGGUUGAGGAGUGUGGAAACUCUGAUGGAGAAGAGCCAAACCUGUUUUCCUCAUUGGAGCAGUGUCCACACCAGAGAGGGAUAUGAAGAGAGUGUGGAGCAAGAGAGGACUCUUGACAGCUGCAAGGUGAAGGAACCAGCAGAUUAGACUACAGAAUCCAUAGUGAUGAAACCUGCUUGACUAUUUAUGACAGUGGAGGCUGAGCAUGAUGAGAAGAUGCUCUGAGUGGGAAACAGAAGUGGAGAAAGG
RNAcentral lists this long non-coding RNA (967 nucleotides) under Cricetulus griseus (Chinese hamster). RNAcentral describes it as "lncRNA (ENSCGRG00015029871.1)". The record is from RNAcentral. Lineage: Eukaryota; Metazoa; Chordata; Mammalia; Rodentia; Cricetidae.